This 77-nucleotide transfer RNA is filed under the name Deltaproteobacteria bacterium. Its description in RNAcentral is "tRNA-Arg". It matches the Rfam family "tRNA". Rfam says of the family: Transfer RNA (tRNA) molecules are approximately 80 nucleotides in length. Their secondary structure includes four short double-helical elements and three loops (D, anti-codon, and T loops). Further hydrogen bonds mediate the characteristic L-shaped molecular structure. tRNAs have two regions of fundamental functional importance: the anti-codon, which is responsible for specific mRNA codon recognition, and the 3' end, to which the tRNAs corresponding amino acid is attached (by aminoacyl-tRNA synthetases). tRNAs cope with the degeneracy of the genetic code in two manners: having more than one tRNA (with a specific anti-codon) for a particular amino acid; and 'wobble' base-pairing, i.e. permitting non-standard base-pairing at the 3rd anti-codon position. RNAcentral also lists the same sequence under 1 other name. The record is from RNAcentral. Lineage: Bacteria; Pseudomonadati; Myxococcota; Myxococcia.
GCGCCCGUAGCUCAGUAGGACAGAGCAGGAGCCUUCUAAGCUCUUGGCCGGGGGUUCGAAUCCUCCCGGGCGCGCCA